UUGGAGGGCAAGUCUGGUGCCAGCAGCCGCGGUAAUUCCAGCUCCAAUAGCGUAUAUUAAAGUUGUUGAGGUUAAAAAGCUCGUAGUUGAACCUUGGGCCUAGCCGGCCGGUCCGCCUCACCGCGUGCACUGGCUCGGCUGGGCCUUUCCUUCUGGAGAACCGCAUGCCCUUCACUGGGUGUGCCGGGGAACCAGGACUUUUACNCUGAAUAAAUUAGAUCGCUUAAAGAAGGCCUAUGCUCGAAUACAUUAGCAUGGAAUAAUAGAAUAGG
This 272-nucleotide ribosomal RNA is filed under the name uncultured Ascomycota. RNAcentral's name for it is "partial 18S ribosomal RNA". It matches the Rfam family "Eukaryotic small subunit ribosomal RNA", at positions 548 to 826 of the family's 1831-position model. The record is from RNAcentral. Lineage: Eukaryota; Fungi; Ascomycota.